Molecule: ribosomal RNA, 526 nt
Filed under: uncultured Acidobacteriota bacterium
Lineage: Bacteria; Pseudomonadati; Acidobacteriota
Description: bacterial SSU rRNA
Rfam family: Bacterial small subunit ribosomal RNA
Source: RNAcentral
CCCUGAUCCAGCAACGCCGCGUGGGGGAUGAAGGUCCUCGGAUUGUAAACCCCUGUUGAGAGGGACGAAGGGCUGAUGGGCGAACAGUCCUGAAGCUUGACGGUACCUCUAUAGAAGGCCCCGGCUAACUCUGUGCCAGCAGCCGCGGUAAUACAGAGGGGGCAAGCGUUAUCGGAAUCAUUGGGCGUAAAGGGCGCGUAGGCGGCCACGCAAGUCUCGGGUGAAAUCCCUCGGCUCAACCGAGGAACUGCCCUGGAAACUGCAUGGCUUGAGGCCGGGAGAGGGUGGUGGAAUUCCCAGUGUAGCGGUGAAAUGCGUAGAUAUUGGGAGGAACACCAGUGGCGAAGGCGGCCACCUGGACCGGUCCUGACGCUGAGGCGCGAAAGCGUGGGGAGCAAACAGGAUUAGAUACCCUGGUAGUCCACGCCCUAAACGAUGGGUACUCGGUGUCGCGGGUAUCCGACCCCUGCGGUGCCUUAGCUAACGCGUUAACGUACCCCGCCUGGGGAGUACGGUCGCAAGGCUG